Molecule: ribosomal RNA, 450 nt
Filed under: uncultured bacterium
Lineage: Bacteria
Description: partial 16S ribosomal RNA
Rfam family: Bacterial small subunit ribosomal RNA
Source: RNAcentral
GUGGGGAAUCUUCCGCAAUGGACGAAAGUCUGACGGAGCAACGCCGCGUGAGUGAAAAAGGUUUUCGGAUCGUAAAGCUCUUUCGUUAGGGACGAACGUGCUCUUUGUGAAUAAUGAGGAGUAAUGACGGUACCUAAAUAAGAAGCCACGGCUAACUACGUGCCAGCAGCCGCGGUAAUACGUAGGUGGCAAGCGUUGUCCGGAAUUAUUGGGCGUAAAGCGCGCGCAGGCGGGAUAUCAAGUCUGUCUUAAAAGUGCGAGGCUCAACCUCGUGAGGGGACAGAAACUGGUAUUCUUGAGUGUCGGAUAGGAAAGUGGAAUUCCAAGUGUAGCGGUGAAAUGCGUAGAGAUUUGGAAGAACACCAGUGGCGAAGGCGACUUUCUGGACGAUGUCUGACGCUGAGGCGCGAAAGCUAGGGGAGCGAACGGGAUUAGAAACCCGGGUAGUCC